CCGCUCCCUCUUCCCUGCUCCGCCCCGAGGGCCCGGCGCUGACUUCCUGGGCUGGCGGUGGAGGGGUCCCCCAGACCGGGAGUGGACGCCAGGCUCUGCAUUUCUCGGGAACCAAGUGGGGUGGGCCUUCCCUGGGUCCCUCCCUCCCGGACGGGAUAAAUAAGCCGGGGCUACUUGGAAACGAUUUGCGCAAUGCCGGGUUCGGGCGUCCGUUUGGGGAACUCAGAUGCCUGCGGCAGCUGAUCUACUCUGUGCUAUGCUGAGCCAGACACCACCACGCUUUGCCUCCAGGAGCAAGUCUUAACUAGAGAGAGAUCAAAGAAAAAGACAACUAGGGACGACUGCCAAGAGUGCAAUAAAUAUAAAGUUCAGC
This 373-nucleotide long non-coding RNA is filed under the name Homo sapiens (human). RNAcentral describes it as "non-protein coding lnc-PPP6C-1:1". Lineage: Eukaryota; Metazoa; Chordata; Mammalia; Primates; Hominidae. The record is from RNAcentral.